UACGUAGGGUGCGAGCGUUGUCCGGAAUUACUGGGCGUAAAGAGCUCGUAGGCGGUUUGUCACGUCUGCUGUGAAAUCCCGAGGCUCAACCUCGGGCCUGCAGUGGGUACGGGCAGACUGGAGUGCGGUAGGGGAGAAUGGAAUUCCUGGUGUAGCGGUGGAACGCGCAGAUACCAGGAGGAACACCGAUGGCGAAGGCAGUUCUCUGGGCCGUAACUGACGCUGAGGAGCGAAAGCGUGGGGAGCGAACAGG
Molecule: ribosomal RNA, 253 nt
Filed under: uncultured bacterium
Lineage: Bacteria
Description: partial 16S ribosomal RNA
Rfam family: Bacterial small subunit ribosomal RNA
Source: RNAcentral